UUUACUCGGGGAUAGCCUUUCGAAAGAAAGAUUAAUACCCGAUAGCAUAAUGAUUCCGCAUGGUUUCAUUAUUAAAGGAUUCCGGUAAAGGAUGGGGAUGCGUUCCAUUAGGUUGUUGGUGAGGUAACGACUCACCAAGCCUUCGAUGGAUAGGGGUUCUGAGAGGAGGGUCCCCCACAUUGGAACUGAGACACGGUCCAAACUCCUACGGGAGGCAGCAUG
This 222-nucleotide ribosomal RNA is filed under the name uncultured bacterium. RNAcentral describes it as "partial 16S ribosomal RNA". It matches the Rfam family "Bacterial small subunit ribosomal RNA", at positions 132 to 353 of the family's 1533-position model. The record is from RNAcentral.